Panicum virgatum (switchgrass) is the source of this 11978-nucleotide RNA transcript. RefSeq lists it as uncharacterized. The record is from RefSeq and is a predicted model, not a curated record. The transcript has a single exon. NCBI's taxonomy places the organism in Eukaryota, Viridiplantae, Streptophyta, Magnoliopsida, Poales, Poaceae.
GAAAGAGCAAUAGGCCGGGACCAUCCUAUAAAAACGAAACGGUCCCUUCGUAACCAGUCGUCCAUAAUAUCAAAUAGAUCAUUUUCUAUCUUCCAACAAUCUUCUCUUUAUUAUUCCACGGGGUGGAACAUAAGUGACACGAGCCAGUACGCGAGCGUAGGAAUGGAGCGAGCAAGAUUCCUUUGGACUUACUUUGGUUUUGCAUAUAUUAUCAUAUAGAAAGAAACGUAGCGAUUCCGUAUCUAGUUUGUGUCUUAUUAUUCAACCAUGGAUCGCUGCGCAGGAAUCAAAUCAACGAGAAAUACUAUACUAGACUAGACUAUACUAGAACUAGAAAUUUCAUCAACGAGAAAUACAAUACUAUACUAGAAAUUUCAUCAACGGGAAAUACAAUACUAUACUAGAAACUAGAACUAGACUAGACUAAAAAUUUCUAGUAGCGAAGGAAAAGCGUGAAACAAUGUCAUGUCGCGACUCGACAUGUUAGAAGGAGCUAAAUCAAUAGGUGCCGGAGCUGCUACAAUUGCUUUAGCGGGAGCUGCUGUCGGUAUUGGAAACGUCCUCAGUUCCUCGAUUCAUUCCGUGGCGCGAAAUCCUUCAUUGGCUAAACAAUCAUUUGGUAGGAACGGGCAAAUAAAGAAUUUCAUUUCGAAUUCCUCCUCCUUUUUUAUUUUUUUGAUAUGCAAAUAUCCUUCUUUGUUAUUGUUUAUAAAAGUUACCAUUUUUGUUGUGAUAAUAUAUUUGCGUUUUUUACUCCCCCUAGUGGGACUCGUCUCCCAUCUAGAUUUGGGAUUGUUGUCCAUUAUAAGUCUCCCCGCCGGAGGUUCAAAGCCCACAGGCUCUAGCUCAUUUAGAAGGGCUCAACUUCUAUCUGAGCCUUUAUGACCAGGAUCCGGAGUGGGUUGCGUUCAUUCAGCAGGAGCUGAAUCACAACACCCCUCUGGAGGACAUUCCUGGGCGCCUACACUUAUUUUUAAUAGAGGAAAAGAUCUCGUGUUUACGACGAGAUCUUAUCCAAGAUUUCAUUUCGAUGUAUAAUAGAAGCGAAGCCGUACUUCCCCUCGAGCCCUACAUUUUGGAAGAGGCGGUUCGCUCCUAUUUAGAUCAUAUUCGUGGGACGGAGAAUAUUUCUAUUCUCCGUGCAGCUUAUCAAGAUCUGCAGGAGAAUGAAGGAUCCAUCUUCUUUUUGGAGGUGGUUUCGCACAACCAGGAUUACCUGGAUGCACAGACCACUUCCAGGAGGUGCCAUGAAUUGGCGCAAAGGAUCCUAUGGGAUGGAAUAGCCCGCAGCCAAGCUCAGCUCGAAAGGGCUGAGUAUGAGCAUGCGCUACUAUUGUUUCAAUAUGAAGAUCUCAAUAGGGGGCGGGGGCAUAUUUAAGCAUGCAUUCCUAUUUUUUUUUGAAGCAGCAAGCGCCUUUAUGUGACCUAACAGGACUUUUGAAUUAACUCAGUGAUUUUGCAGACGGAGGAGAGGAAAUGAAAGCAGAAGAAGUUAUCGAAACUCGGAACCACAUGUUCAAUCUUUUUUAGCGGUUUCCCCAGAGAUCUUUCUCAUUAACGCAACCUUCAUUUUGCUCAUUCAUGGAGUUGUAUUUAGUACCUCUAAGAAAGAUGAUUAUCCACCGUUAGUUAGUAAUGUGGGUUGGCUUGGAUUACUUAGUGUUGCGCGCCUAGGAGGGCAGCGCGCUUGGGAUGCGGAGGAGCUAUUAUCGCCCAGCUCCCUAACCUAAUGCGGCCGGACCGCAGGGAACCUUAGCAUGGGGGGACGUCCUAAUCCUUUUGCCGCCGCAAGGCUGGCUAAUCGUACGCAGCAGGAGCAAGGGAACUCCCCUGGUUCAGGAAGGCACAUGAGUCCGAACGCUAUUAUGAAUGUGCGACCGACACUACACUACGUAGGUACCUGUGCAUGCAGGUGAGGCGUCGGUCGGUCCUAGAAACGGCGGCAGCUAGCGAGGAGUUAACGACCGGACGUGCUGCAACCUAGGGAUCACCAGGCAGCUCUUUCGCUCUAUAGGGAUAUCGGGGGGGGGCAUAGCACAAUUCUUCUUGGAGGAGGGUUGGUUUGCCCAGGUGACUGAUCCUGCCAUAAUAUACUCCCGCCAAUUCUAUUGCACCGGCAACCGAAGUCGAACAUACAUACGACGAUCUUCAUGCGUGAAGGGACGGGAGGAAAGAAAGGGCGGUAGAUGAUAAUGCGAAAGGGCGCCGCGUCUGGGCGGGCGGGCUGAAUGGAUGAGCGAAAGAUGCCAUGGAGUGGGGAAUAUCCCCAGUCUAAAGUUAUACAACUAAAUGCACUUCAAGGUGCUGCCGAGGAACUGGGGGACCUUCUCGAGCACAGGAUAGGCAAUUGAGAGAUAGAGUUAGCCUAUUCGUUAUGGGGAAUCAAUGCUCCGGACCGAAUAGUUACCUCCUUUUCUUUCUCUGGCGCAUAUUAGCUUAGCAGCGCUCAAAAGGCCCAGGUUGGUUUGUUUGGCUUCCUCUCUUAGGCCACUUUCCUUACCUUACUCCCGCAACACUCCCACUCCAAGCUACGCCUGCUGAGCAAGAUGCAUUGCGAUUUCCUCUUCUGUGGACGCACCUUCGCCUCACCAUGACCCGGGACGGGAAGAGAAAGACUUUGAUUUUUCCGGCGGGCUUGAUAGUAAAGCCAAAGAAAGACGCCCCAAGACAAGGUACAACUGUUGGGAAGGGGACAUGAUCAAUAGAACCCGGCUGGAUCCGGGCUGGGAUAGUGGCGCCCAUUCCUAACCAGUUCAGAAAAGGUUCGCUCAUGCUGGAGGUACUAACCACUUAGUGAUCGGUCCGCUAGUUCACGCAAAUCCGAAGAAGUUAUCACGGACGAGCCACAUGCAGGGAAACUUGCACGUGUGGUUCUGGCCGGGCUUUCCUUCGGUAUCUAAUAACCUUGCUUCUGCUCGCCGCUGGCGCACCUCUCCUAACUAUUGCCCAUUUAUUCUGGAAUCAUUUUUUUAGGAGGGACAAUUUUACAUAUUUCUGCCAAAUCCUUCUAUUAUUAAGUACGGCUGGUACCAUUUCGAUGUGUUUCGAUUCUUUCGAAAAAGAGAGGUUUGAUGCUUUUGAAUUCAUUGUAUUAAUUCCACUUCCUACUCGCAGUAUGCUCUUAAUGAUCCCGGCUCAUGAUUUAAUUGCCAUGUAUUUAGCUAUUGAGCUUCAAAGUUUAUGUUUUUAUGUGAUCGCAGCAUCAAAAAGAAAGUCUGAAUUUUCCACGGAAGCCGGCUCAAAAUAUUUGAUCUUAGGUGCAUUUCCCUCUGGAAUAUUAUUGUUCGGGUGCGACCGGACUACUACCGAUCAAUUUUUGGAAACUUCUUUAUAGACUUGUAGAGACCCUCUAUGUAGUUGUAAUUCUUGGGCAAUCGAUCUACUUUCCCCAUAGCCCUAAGGCAGUGUCUCGAUCUCCUACGUGCGAAAGAUAAGAUACGGGAGACGGGGUCCUAUGGUAUGGGUCUUCGACCCUUGGUCUAAUUCCACGACGGAGAGUCGGCGUGGCGUAAAGUGAAGAUUGGGGGGAAUAGAGCGAAAUCCCCGUCUGGGGUAUUCCGAAGGUGUAACCUAGGCAACGAAAAAGGGGCCCGAUACUUAAACUAAAGGAGCGACCUGUUGGUUCACCAAACCCCGACCCAGUGUCACACGUUCUCCAGGUCCGAAGGGAUCCAGUGCCCAACUACCGACUCCUCCCGGAAUUGCGUUAUCGGAGCCGAGCCAGGAAUAGCCGUUAGUGGACACCUACCACUUUUCACCGGUUAGAGAGGCCCUCUUUAAUACAUUAAGAAAAUAUGUUCACAGGGGCCAGAAAGACUCGGUCAUAGGAACUUAAACCACCUACGCGCUGGUAAACGAAAACCACCUCGACCGGAUCUACCGAACGAAGAAGGCCGCCCCGUCGAAAGAAUUAACACGCCAAAAGGGCCACCAGCUUUCCCCAAAAAAAGGGGAGAUCCGCUGCUUACUGCUCACGGAAACAUCCGACCUUAUCGUCAAGUCGUCCGCCUAUCUUUCUGAUCUCAUUCGUUUUCCGAUCGCAUAAAAAGAUAAAAAAAUCAAUAAUGUGAGAAUGUAGUUACAGAUGUGAAAAAAGUAAAUAUCUCUCUGUCUUUUCUCUGGAUCAUUCAUUUACAAAGUUCUUUAAAAGAAGAAAACCGAUCGACCAUUCUCCGCGGAAGAUAGGUAAACAUUUGACGAGCGAAAAAAAACACGUGAGAAAGACCUAAAAACCCAUUCUCCCUAAAUGGUUUACCUAUACUGAAUGGAAGGUUUAUGACAUGGGAAGAUUUUCCAGAAUAUGAGCAAGGGUAAAGGAUUCAUCACUUGCUGGGCUUUCAGGGAGUAAUAGGAGGGGUUGGGAAUUGAUCGUUGAAAUCAUCCCACCAGAGCAUAUGAACUUGAGGUGGGGGCUCAAUCUCGUCAGUCUCCCGGAUUCCAGUCAUGUCUCUACCAUCGGUUUCUCCCUUUUCUCCGGCUGGCGUAAUAAGGAGGGAGUCAGAGACUACCAACUCGACAAUGUUGGCUCGAUCAUGUUUAUAUUGGCAGGAGGAAGUACAGCAUGAGUGGGUAGGGGAUUAGUAGUGACAUUAGGACGGUUUGCCCUUGGCGGCUCAAUUUUCCCUGAAUCAAUAAGGUCUUGGAUGUCAUGUUUAAGCCUUAAACACUUUUGGCCUUUUGUCUGAUGGUACUUGCAGUAGGCAUUGGCUUUGUACCUAGGAGGAAGAGGAUCUGGUGGCGGAGAUGGGGGAAAAGGCGUCAGUACACCAUGCUUCUUAAGCUUAUUUUCCAAGGCGCGGCUGAGAGUUAUGCCGAACGGAGUGAAAGUCCUGAGUGUCUUUGGUUUUCCGUCAGACAAGAUAUUCACUUCACUGUUCUUGCUUGUUCCCCCCAGGGCUAUCUUCUUUCCUUUUGGAUCUGCCUCUUUGACCUGUGAUCCAUGAGUCCCAUUGUAGAUAGCAUCUUCAAUACGAGUGGCUGCUUCAAUCAAAGAGUCAUAAGUGGUCAUCGCUUGGAAAUCUAAAUAGUCAUGGUAUUGCCUACUCAUGUUAUUCAUCAUUAUCCGAACUUGUUCCUUUUCUGGGGAGAGAUCAAUCACUUGGGCUGCUUUGGCCUUCCAACGGGCCAGGAAAUUGGUCACAAUCAUAAAAGACCUGAACCGGAGGUGCUUGGGGUGCAGUAGAAGGAACAGACUUUGAUUGAUGAGAGAUUUUGGAUAAGAGUUCAUAAAAGGCGCUAGCCUGUUUCAUGGUCAGGAAGGGAAAGGAAAGAGCUGGGUUUCUAACAAAAAAGGAAACGUUUCCUUUUUUUUUGUUAGAAAACGAGCUUCUGGCAAAGCAUCGGGAGGGAGUGUCAUUGACCCAUUCCUACUGCUUCUUUGAUUCAUCAAUUCCCAUCUAUGAAUUAUGGAUCCAAUUCGGUAUCUUGCGUAGGAAUUCAUGUUGUCAACGAGGAUCUUAGCCCCUUCUUGUUGUUUUCCCAGCCAACUGUCAAAUGCAAAUCCAAAAAAAGGAAUGCCUUUGAGAGAAGAAUGUAGGAACGAAGCUUCCCGGAGUCCUUUUCCUCCGUGAACAAACCUGAUUUCGUCAAAGACGAUGAGACUUCGGUUUCCGGCGAGGCCCAGUCGGAGCCAAAGGAAGAUUCAGCGAGAACAACAAAAGCACUAAAAGAAUUGGGUUUGGUAAUCGACCGGGUUGAAACGCUCCAUAUUCCUGGAAAUACGACGGACGACAUCAUUGAUCAUAUGGUGGAUAUAUGGGAUAUAGACAAAAAAGCUGAUUCAACAAGUAAAAUAAACUCUUUAGUGGGUUCGUUAGAGCGCUUUGAAGAACUAAAAAAUCGGCUUGUUGCCGACGCUUCGGCAUGUACAGAAGAGGAAGUCCAAGAACUUCUUCAACGAUUUCAGAAUACGGGCCAGGCCGCCAGUGACUUUCUUAUUGCUAGGUAUGGUAUUGGCACAAGGUCGAGUCAACUGCACAGCAUAAAUCUCUCUUUGAUGACGAACGAAGUCAAAACACGAAUGGAGGUGGACCUUGAAAACCACCAAGAAGUGUUUUCCGAACCUUUUCUAAAUUGUUGUCAAAAAGCGUCUGACUGAAUGAAGUAGGCUCCGCGGUCUUCAACCAAAAUAAAGUGACCAAAAGACACAAUUGCAUCGGUCCAAUGAGACAUGGGGGCACCAGUAGAUAUUGAAAGAAAUACUAUUGAUCGGUAUUAUUGUUGUAGUUCUUUCUUCCUAUCGUCGAUGAAAGUACAACCACCCGUUUUCCACACUUUUUCAUAUCUUAAGUCAGCGAAUUACCCGCGGUGAGGAAGAGAGAUUAGAACUCCAGGAUUGGCAGAAGUGUUUCUUCUCCUUGCUAAUUGCCUACUCAACAUUGGUGUGUUUCACAUUCCACUCUAUCUAGCCAAAUAUCAUAGCUAGUCCAAUGCUUUUCCUCGUCGUAGUGAAGUGAGGGAAGGAAUUAUGCCCUAGCCCCAAACAAAAGUACUUGUUUUGACCGGCCUAUUACGAGCCUAAAGUAGUACACACAAGAGUGAAGUCAGGGCGAAAUCCCUACUUACUUGACUGGUUUCCGGGUCUCAGAAACAUAGAAAGGAUUUAACGAAUAGGAUAGUCUAAUGUCCAGUGAGGACAUCUCCUUGCUUGCUUUUUUCAUUGACUGAUUCUAGUGGCUGGCCCAGUGAGAGAAUUACCAGUGUCUGUCAUUAGACUUGAUCUUUCCAUGGCGAACUCUUUUGUUGUAUAAAAUCGGCUGGCUGGAUUGACCUUUGGGAUUGAGUCACUCGUACAUUGAAUCAGAGUAUUUCGUAUAACUCUUACUUAACAGACUUAGUGGACUGAUUGAUUGUUUCUUAGUUAGGAUUUAAAAUUCCUCCUAGCUUGCGAAAUUCCCCUCUGCACUUGCUGCUUUAAUAAGAAGUAGUAGAUGGGAGUAAGGGCUCGGCUGGUGAGUAGUAGGAGUAAGGGCCCGGCUAGUGAGAACUAGCUUAUACUAUCUUUCCGGUGUAAGAGCGUCUCGCUUAUACUUUCGGAGAUCUCUCUCGUAAUUCGUAGAGAGCCCCGCCUAAUCUAGAAAAGGGUUUUUCUCUGAGCCAUAAGUCAAAAUAAUAAGUCAAAAUUCCGCAAGAGCUUGACAAGCAAUCCUUCCUACACAACUCAUCGGCGGUGUGACCAGCUUUACUUUUAUCUUCGAUUCAACCUUGGUAUUCUCCUUUCUUAAACUUACUAAGACUAUUGCUUUUUCAAUGAUUCAAAAAAUCAUCCCUAGUAUAACAAGCUGUACCUGACCAACUAUAGUAUUAGACUCAAUAAGAAGCUUUCAAAACACCACUACUAUAUCUAAUAUGCCCCGCCAGACCAAGAGUGAGGAGGUUGACUGAACCUCUGAGCGAGCUAUUAGUACCUUCUUCCUGAAGAGUAGUAGCCUUCAUUCAUAGCCUGACCAACUCGUUCGUACGCUAGUCAGCUAUUCAUUUCUAGUCAGGUUGCUAUUCCGAUUCCUAUCGGUCCAAAAUACCAGUUUCUUUGGUAGUUAGAACUUCAACUUUUCCAACUGGCACUUCAACUCGCUGUCCAAGUCCUAUACCUUUUCUUUCACAAGCCGGGAUAAGGGCGCUAAGCAUUGAUAAAGACUUUCAUUGCUUCCCUAUAAUCUAUAUUCAACACUACUUGAUACAAAACUUGCUUUCCUUAUUUUAGCUACUACCUUUCUCAUAUUCUUAUCAUAUACUUCUUGGAUGCCUUCCUCCAAUCGCUUUCUUGCGCGAGUUAGAUUCUUUAUAUAUAUAUAGGUGAUGAGUAGGGGUGCAGCUCCGUGUACCGCGGCUAGUCAAAUGUCCGAUUUAAUGCACUAGAGGGCGUUAGCACUAAACUAAAUUUUUUCAGUCUACUUUGAAAGUAAAGACUUGCUUUUGUUUUGCUUCUUUGCUGAUGCUUGAUUAACUACAUGUUUAUACUGUAUUCUGCAACAGUAGAGAAGAGAGAAAAAACGUAAUGUCAAACUACACGCCAGCAAGUGCCAGGAAGAGAAGUUAAGCAAUUGGAAACAGAGAAUAAGUGAAAGACAAAAGCAGCCGGCUUAGGAUUUGCAGUGAAUAAAGCAAGGCAAGCAGUGCCAGAUGAUGAUAAAAUAGCGGCGCAUCCUUCUUUUGAAAGUGACCAAACGGGACUUUGAAGCAUAGUAUCAGAUGCCUUAUUUUUUUAGUUAGGAUCUCCUUCUCAUUCCAAAGUAUGGUUGGUGUAUACUCGGCCUUUCCCACUGUAGUUUGGAGCUCACCCUUUAUUUACACCGACCCAAUCUACAAUCAAAACAAAUGUAAAAGAAAAGGUGAUAAGAAAGAAAUCUAGCGAAAGCUAACUGUCAGCUAUAAAUAAAUGCUUUUGCUUUCUAUCCAGCAGCUGAUGCUUUUUAUGUAGUAAAGAAGGAAAUUCUUGGAGUUAGCACGGUACUGAGGUCUCUGGAGCGAGUGACGGAUUAUCUCUUUCGGAACAUUAGAGGUUGUGGACAGCACUCAUAGCUCCUCUAUUUCUCAAGGAUCUAUGCUUCCUGUUUGCACUCUUUCUAGGCUGUCUUCCAGUGCGAUAGAGAAGCUGGCAGUGAACGGAUUCAUCCGGCAAAUGUGGCCAUACUACUAGCUCUGGCUAGUCCUUGCUUCAUGAGGUACAUACUUCUUCCGGUCUGCUCUGUUGCCGAGCUUUCAUUCUCGGACACCUACAUUCCCAACAGGCUAGGGCAAAUACAUGAAGUCGGAAUGAUUCCCAAACCUGGAUUGAAUGCUCCGCCAAAGUCAACCUAAACAAUUAAUUGAAGGAAGUGUCGCCCGGCAUCGAUUUCACGUGUUGGUUGCCCAACCCGAUAAGUAGUUUUUGAAUGAUUCGCGUUAGCCAGGAGUUAGAGAUGUACUUUAUAUUUCAAUAAUUAGACAACAGCCGUCAGUCAAAAUACUGAUAUCCCCCUCGUUCACUUAAGUGGUAAGAAAUGCUUUAGGUGAACAUGCAUGCAGCAAUAAUUAUGUAUUAUUCAAUUGUUAUUGAUUCCUACUCCGUACUUGACUAUGAGAUAGAGGAAGGAUCUGAUAAUUGCUUAUAUAAGCUAAUUCCUAAUUCUAAGACAUAGAUUUCAUUAUGCGGGGCGUAGCGAAAGCAUUCAACCUUCUAGGACUAAGCCUAAGGCCUAUGGUCCCUCAAAAAAGAGAGAUCAAUCGCUAUCAAUGCCAGGAGGCAGAUCAAGAUUCAUGGGAACGAGAACCUUUUUACCUAAGUAGGAAGAAUCCAUUAGGGCUGCGAACUCUUCCAAUAUGUGCGAGCAAAUGUGCAUGAUCGAGUUGGAAAAACCAGGGCAUCAUCUAUCUAUCUAUCAAACUUUUAAUACGUCUCUUCGAGAAGCAAAGAAACUAGUAUAUACUAGACUCGGUGCCAAGGGAGAAAAGCUUAGAGAUAGAAUGCUCAUCCGUCCAUUUCUUAUUUCCUGAGGUUCACCUAUGUUCUUUUCUUGUGCUUUGUCAAAUCAAGUAGGCGCGUAUGAAACACAAAUCCAGAGGCGGAUAUCUAUUGACGAUAUAGCGUAUGAAAGAGAUUUUUAUGCAAUUCCAUCGGUGCUAGCUCUGUUUUCAGCAUUUGCCUGAACAGGCGCAUUUGCUGCUUCAGUUAAUUCCUUUUAAAGGUGGAUAUUCCGGUUCAUUCCUUUGGGACUGCUCAUUUCUUUGCCUUAUCAUUUGCCGACAUGCGGACUCACUUCUCUUUUAUGGGAUGAAAGCCCUUAUCCCAGUCCUCACCAACACCAAAACAAAAAGUGAAAGAAGACCCCGUACACACUCUUCUUUCCCGCAGCCUAGGGAGGCUGCGGCCUCGCCUUCUUUCUGUAAAAGAAAAGAAAAAAAAGAGUCAAAUCGCACCAUCUCUAUAAUAAGUAAAUGCCCUUUUUUCCCCGGAGGUUGUCGGAAUUAUUUGCAAAAAAAGAAAAUAUUGGCUACAAUCGAGGAGGUCUUAUCAAUGAAAUUUCCAUUUCUACGGGAUCUAGGCAUAAUUCCCAACCCACUGACACAAGGAUUUUCAGUCCUUUGCUCCAACCAACUGAACUAUCUGAACAAAAAACGAACGAAGUUUUCAGCAUAUAGCGUCUACCUCUUCAUUGGAUCACCUUGGUACCGCUACUGUCUUCCAAAAGAAAAGCAAGAUCUGUCUAUCUACGAAAAUCUUCGAUGCAGCACCAAUUGCUCCGCGCCUGGGAAGGCUUGUCUCGUGUGGUGGCGCUUACUACUUAACAAUACAACUCGUUUAAGUCAGUCCGUCCUUCCGGUUCUUUCUCUAGAAAACUCGCUCGGCCAUCCCUUUGAUUGAGCGUAGGGUAUGGAUGGCUUUAUUGGAAAUAUUCUGUUCUAGCUCAGGGGCUUCAUAGCUGAUACUCUUUUUUAGCUAUAGGAAAACUUCUUUUUUGAAUAGGCCCUCUCUUUUUCAAUAGAAAAGUUCUAAGAGUGGCCUGCCCUCAACUCAAAGUGGUAGGAUUGAACCAGGCAGUCUUGUAUUCAAAUUGGUGGUGAGGGGAUUCACAGGUCUAGCCAGGGCAAGGUGUCAGAAAUAGCCAAGCACGAGAUAGCUGAUAUGCGUUUUUCACAAAAGCACCGGUCAGUUACUAGGUAAGAUAAGUAAUAGGCUUGGUCAAGUGUCAUGGAAUAGAACUAGUUGCCAAGGUAGCUGGGUUUAAGAAACACGAGAUACUUUUUCUAUAAAUAUGGACGAAUGGAAGUUUAACUCCUAAAGAAGCGCUUUAUGAAGCUUCUCGUAAUUUGAUUGAUUUAUUUCUUCCUCUGCGUGUAGACUGACGGAGUAGAAGGUUCGGUUCGCUAUUUGCUACUGUCUAAUCUAGUGCGCUUGCUUACUUUCUUGGAAUUCUACUCUAGUGCGCUGAGCUGCUUCUCCUUCCAAUUCCGCUCGCCCCGGUCCUUGAUCGAAGGUCUGGUAUCCGCACCGACGCGACUACUAAUUCAAAGGCAUGCUCUACCUCGCACCUGACCAGCAAAAUGACGUAUAGUAACGUCAUAGCUGUGACCCGAACCACAGUGCUCAUCAAAGAUGGUAGUGCCUUCUGCAUUGCGCUAAAUGAUAAAGCCUAUUUAUUCCUAUGUCUUUCUUGUUAAAAAACCACCUGCGAUUUCAGAUAAGUCUUUCUGCUUAGAGCAAGAAGCGGAACUAAGGUGACACCUAGAAAAAUGAAGGAAGUCAUUUCUUAUUUUUUUCAUAAGAAUACCGACCUAGCUUCAAUUGCUUCAGUUGGAGCUGCUGUCGGUAUUGGGAUCCUAUUCGUUUUCGCACUCCACAGAUGGAGUGUUCCUUCACUCGCCCAGGAACCCAUUCCCCGUCGCGUCUGGGAAUAUGGCGAAGAGCUCGGCUUCUUCCAAAUGAGAAUGUCGACUCCUCGAAUGCCAAUCGAUAUCUCGAGGAAAUUGCGCAUGUCCUCGAAUUUCGAUUUUUUGAUCAACAAGCCAUUGAAUCACUUCCAGGGGGGGGGCACUCCUGGGUGGAGCUUGCGAGGACUGUAAUUUCAAGGACGAUCAGUCCGGAUUUGACCGAUAUCGACAUUCUCGCCUACGCCUAUUGCAUAUUAAUGGAGAAGGGGCAAUCCAAUGAGAUAAUGACAGAAGCCCUUAAAAUCCAGCUGCUAUGGCUGCAAGGGUUAUCCAUUUCAUAGGCGAGGGUGGGGGAGAAGCAAGCCGAACCUCUGAUCGACCCGGACACGUCCAAAAUUCUCGGCGUCGAGAGAAAGACGAGAUUCAGUAAGUAAUUCAGUGAGUGCUUUCUUUUAUAAGAAGAGCGUCGGCUUGGAAGAAGAAAAUGAAAUACGAACAACCGCGCUGGUCGUAAUAGAUCGACUUGAAUGCGUCUUCUUGCUCCAGCAUUCAAGUUCCAUUUCAAGGAAGGACGACGUACCAUGAUACUUUCUGUUUUGUCGAGCCCUGCUUUGGUCUCUGGUUUGAUG